RNAcentral lists this ribosomal RNA (473 nucleotides) under uncultured bacterium. RNAcentral's name for it is "bacterial SSU rRNA". It matches the Rfam family "Bacterial small subunit ribosomal RNA", at positions 8 to 524 of the family's 1533-position model. The record is from RNAcentral.
AGAGUUUGAUCCUGGCUCAGGAUGAACGCUGGCGGCAUGCUUAACACGUGCAAGUCGGACGGGAAGUGGUGUUUCCAGUGGCAGACGGGUGAGUAACGCGUAAGAACCUGCCCUUGGGAGGGGAACAAUAGCUGGAAAUGACUGCUAAUACCCCAUAGGCUGAGGAGAAAAAGGGGGAAUCUGCCCAAGGAGGGGCUCGCGUCUGAUUAGUUAGUUGGUGAGGCAAUGGCUUACCAAGGCGACGAUCAGUAGCUGGUCUGAGAGGAUGAUCAACCACGCUGGGACUGAGACAUGGCCCAGACUCCUACGGGAGGAAGCAGUGGGGAAUUUUCCGCAAUGGGCGACAGCCUGAUGGAGCAAUGCCGCGUGAAGGCAAAAGGCCCACGAGUCAUGAACUUCUUUUCUCGGAGAAGAAAAAUGACGGUCUCUGAGGAAUAAGCAUCAGCUAAAUCUGUGCCAGCAGCCGCGGUAAU